AUUUAAUGUUUUAUUAAUCUGAUUGGCACAGGUUAAAAUCCUAUCACAUACCUAUAUUAAUUGGUUUUUAUUAAAUGAAAAGACUAAAUAUCCUCAAAUAGUAUCAUUUAUUUAAAUUACAGAAGGACAUUUCUGUAAUUUCUUAACCGAAUUGGUGACUCGAUUGAGGGUGACACCACCUCAGUAAAACACUUAAUAAAUAGUAAGUAUGAAUAUAUAAA
RNAcentral lists this long non-coding RNA (221 nucleotides) under Gossypium barbadense (sea-island cotton). RNAcentral's name for it is "long non-coding RNA (GBAR_LNC009874)". The record is from RNAcentral. Lineage: Eukaryota; Viridiplantae; Streptophyta; Magnoliopsida; Malvales; Malvaceae.